UGGUGAAGGAUAGGGAAACAAGGAACUCUAAAGGAUACGCCUUCUGCGUUUACUAGGAUCUCUCAGUUACAGAUAUUGCUUGUGCUGCUCUAAAUGGGUGAUAAAACUCGUACUGUUAGACGAGCGAACCUGGGCACCGCUCAGCUAAAACCUGAGCAGGAAACGUCUUAAUACAGGCACAACUACAGGUCGCGUGGCAGAGGCAAUUGUUCCAAACCGGAGGUGGUCUAGGUGGUGGUAAUGGAGGUGGCAUUGCUACCAAGGUCGUAUGCCUGACAGAGGUGGUUACUGCAGAUGAGCUUAAAGAUGAUGAAGAGUAUGAAGAUAUUUUGGAAGAUAUGAGGGUAGAAGGUGGAAAAUUUGGUACAUUGAUGAAUAUUGUCAUCCCCCGUCCACAACCUAACGGUGAACCCUCUCUAGGACUUGGAAAGGCUUUCGUUGAGAACUACGACACUUCAUGUUUAAGCCAGUGCCUCUACGGUAUCAUCUACCACUAUGUUUCUC
Molecule: long non-coding RNA, 504 nt
Organism: Papaver somniferum (opium poppy)
Lineage: Eukaryota; Viridiplantae; Streptophyta; Magnoliopsida; Ranunculales; Papaveraceae
Exons: 4
Source: RefSeq, a predicted model, not a curated record